CAGUAGCCACGGGAAUACAGAGGGUGCGAGCGUUAAUCGGAUUUACUGGGCGUAAAGCGUGCGUAGGCGGCUUCUUAAGUCGGAUGUGAAAUCCCUGAGCUUAACUUAGGAAUUGCAUUCGAUACUGGGAAGCUAGAGUAUGGGAGAGGAUGGUAGAAUUCCAGGUGUAGCGGUGAAAUGCGUAGAGAUCUGGAGGAAUACCGAUGGCUAAGGCAGCCAUCUGGCCUAAUACUGACGCUGAGGUACGAAAGCAUGGGGAGCAAACAGGAUUAGAUACCCCCGUAGUCCCUGUCUCUUAUAA
This 301-nucleotide ribosomal RNA is filed under the name uncultured bacterium. RNAcentral describes it as "partial 16S ribosomal RNA". It matches the Rfam family "Bacterial small subunit ribosomal RNA", at positions 509 to 809 of the family's 1533-position model. The record is from RNAcentral.